UGAGGAAUAUUGGUCAAUGGGCGGGAGCCUGAACCAGCCAAGCCGCGUGAGGGAAUAAGGCGCCAAGCGUCGUAAACCUCUUUUGUCAGGGAACAAAAGCGGGCACGCGUGCCCGUCCGAGUGUACCUGAAGAAAAAGCAUCGGCUAACUCCGUGCCAGCAGCCGCGGUAAUACGGAGGAUGCGAGCGUUAUCCGGAUUUAUUGGGUUUAAAGGGUGCGUAGGCGGCGUGUUAAGUCAGCGGUAAAAGCCCGGGGCUCAACCCGCGAGCGUGAACAUGCAUGCCGGAGACGGCGAGAGGUACGCGGAAUGCGCGGUGUAGCGGUGAAAUGCAUAGAUAUCGCGCAGAACCCCGAUUGCGAAGGCAGCGUACCGGCGCCGGACUGACGCUGAGGCACGAAAGCGUGGGUAUCGAACAGGAUUAGAUACC
RNAcentral lists this ribosomal RNA (428 nucleotides) under uncultured bacterium. Its description in RNAcentral is "bacterial SSU rRNA". It matches the Rfam family "Bacterial small subunit ribosomal RNA", at positions 355 to 786 of the family's 1533-position model. The record is from RNAcentral.